GACGAACGCUGGCGGCGUGCUUAACACAUGCAAGUCGAACGGAAAGGCCUUUUCGGCGGUACUCGAGUGGCGAACGGGUGAGUAACACGUGGGUGAUCUGCCCUGCACUCUGGGAUAAGCCUGGGAAACUGGGUCUAAUACCGGAUAGGACCGCACUUUAGUGUGCGUGGUGGAAAGUUUUUUCGGUGUAGGAUGAGCCCGCGGCCUAUCAGCUUGUUGGUGGGGUAAUGGCCUACCAAGGCGGCGACGGGUAGCCGGACUGAGAGGUUGGUCGGCCACAUUGGGACUGAGAUACGGCCCAGACUCCUACGGGAGGCAGAAGUGGGGAAUAUUGCACAAUGGGCGCAAGCCUGAUGCAGCGACGCCGCGUGGGGGAGGACGGCCUUCGGGUUGUAAACACCUUUCGCCAGGGACGAAGCGUUUUGUGACGGUACCUGGAGAAGAAGCACCGGCUAACUCUGUG
This 463-nucleotide ribosomal RNA is filed under the name uncultured bacterium. Its description in RNAcentral is "partial 16S ribosomal RNA". It matches the Rfam family "Bacterial small subunit ribosomal RNA", at positions 28 to 507 of the family's 1533-position model. The record is from RNAcentral.